ACAACUCAAUAGUCAUAUGAGGAUUCUCGAGUUAGUCCCAUGGUCUGUGAGCUUGCAAUGUUUCCGGCUCUGAGUCUGCGGGUUGGGAAGUUCCUAUAACUCGGACUAUCUCUGCUCACUCAGUCGCUUGAGUUGACUUGUGGAGUUGUCGUUGCCUACGAAAUUGUAAGUUAUAA
This is a long non-coding RNA of Sander lucioperca (pikeperch), 176 nucleotides long. RefSeq lists it as uncharacterized. The transcript is spliced from 3 exons. The record is from RefSeq and is a predicted model, not a curated record. NCBI's taxonomy places the organism in Eukaryota, Metazoa, Chordata, Actinopteri, Perciformes, Percidae.